ACUUUCAUGUAAAUUUUUAUAUUAAUAAUUCUUUGUUAAAUUAUUUUAUUAUUUUGAUAAAAUUUAUUAAUUUGGUUGUUGAAGUGAACGGUUUUUAACGUUUCAAUAAAAAUUUAGGGUGCGUUUAUGAAAUAACCCGCAAAAUUAUUUUAAAAAAUUUUCAUUUAAAAAUCUAAAUAUUAAUUUUAACCAAUAAUAUUAAAGACCUUAUGUCACGACCCAAUUCCAUGGGCCGGACCGGCACUAGGGCCCAGGUAAGCUUAAGGCCCCCGAGGCCCGUAGUAAGCCUGAAACACUAGAAUCUAUUAUCUCAGUAUAAAUUUCAACAUUCAGGCCAUAUGAUAAUGAAAAAUAACCUCAAUAUUUUAUUAUUUCUCGGCCCAAGUUUAUCUUCUACAGCAUUCCAUAGUUCGGGCCCAAUUUACAAUACAUCACAUUUCUAACAUGAGCUUACAGAAUUAUUUUGUCUAUGUUAAUACACGACUAAAUAUAUGUAAAUCCUACAACUGCGGAGUCACUAACUCUUUGGUAUACAUAAUUACAUAGCAAAUAAUUGUGGAACUAGGAAAAAUUUCUCUGUUGCCCUCCGCCGAAGGAACAUAACCUAAAUCGGAUUAAAGAAGAACUUACUUCCUGAAACAUCAAACAAGAUAUGUGAGCCUUUUAAGAAAUAAUACCUAUUGCACCGCACACGCAUUCACACAAAUGAAUAAAUAUAUCAAUCUAGUCAUCCGACUAGUUAUAUGCUCACGCAGUCAGUCACACAAAUGGCAUAUCAUUAACACCCACAAUCAUUAACAUCUUCAUGUAAUCACAUCACGUGGAAAUUNNNN
This 833-nucleotide long non-coding RNA is filed under the name Jatropha curcas. Its description in RNAcentral is "long non-coding RNA (JCUR_LNC001695)". The record is from RNAcentral. Lineage: Eukaryota; Viridiplantae; Streptophyta; Magnoliopsida; Malpighiales; Euphorbiaceae.